RNAcentral lists this ribosomal RNA (466 nucleotides) under uncultured bacterium. Its description in RNAcentral is "partial 16S ribosomal RNA". It matches the Rfam family "Bacterial small subunit ribosomal RNA", at positions 28 to 507 of the family's 1533-position model. The record is from RNAcentral.
GAUGAACGCUGGCGGCGUGCUUAACACAUGCAAGUCGAACGAUGAGGCCCAGCUUGCUGUGUUGAUUAGUGGCGAACGGGUGUGUAACACGUGAGUAACCUGCCCUUCUCUCUGGUAUAAUCCUGGUAAAGUGGCUCUAAUACCGUAUAGAUGCUUCCUCCACAUGGGGGGUGUUGGAGAGAUUUAUUGUUUUUGUGUGGACUCGCGUGUUAUCCUCUUGUUUGUGGGGUUAUGGUUCACCAAGGCGUCGACGGGUAGCCGGCCUGAGAGGGGGACCGGCAACACUGGGACUGAGAAAGGGCCCAGACGCCAACGGGAGGCAGCGGGGGGAAAUAUUGAACAAGGGGCGAAAGCCUGAUGCAGCGACGCGGGGUGAGGGAUGACGGCCUUCGGGUGGUAAACCUCUUUCAGUAGGGAAGAAGCGAAAGUGACGGUACCUGCAGAAGAAGCACCGGCUAACUACGUG